This 122-nucleotide ribosomal RNA is filed under the name Pteropus alecto (black flying fox). The record is from RNAcentral. Lineage: Eukaryota; Metazoa; Chordata; Mammalia; Chiroptera; Pteropodidae.
AUAUAUGAUUAAGAUAAGUCGAAUAUAGUCCCCAAUCCUGUCUGAUCUCGGAAGCUGAGCAGGGCCGGGCCUGUUUAGUACUUGGAUGGGAGACCACCUAGAAAGACCAGGUGCUGUAGGUG